Molecule: long non-coding RNA, 680 nt
Organism: Bombus pyrosoma
Lineage: Eukaryota; Metazoa; Arthropoda; Insecta; Hymenoptera; Apidae
Exons: 3
Source: RefSeq, a predicted model, not a curated record
AUUAUUUAAUUUUUGCUUUAGCUUAUUAUAUCCUUAUUUAACAUAUUUGAAAUUUUGCUUUAGUUUAUUCUAUCCUUAUUUAAUAUAUUUGAAAUCCAUUAAAGAUUUCCAUUAAAGAAGAUAAAGAGCUACUUUGUGUAAAAGUUUUUCGCAUUUUAAAUUCUACUAAAAUAAUUAAAAUAAAAAUAUAAGUUAGACAUACAUAUACAUAUAAUUCAAUUUAUUCAUAUAAUUAGUCUAUUCAUUGUAUUACAUUUGUAAAAAAUUCUUUAACUUCUAUGAUAAUUUUUGCUUCAAAUGUUUUAAUACAAUCAUGUGAUAUUUUAAAAAGUUAAGCUAUAAAAUGAGGAUCUUGACUAAAAAUUAAUUAUUUCUCAUUGUGUGUGUACUUUAUUUUAAGAAGUUCUUUUUGAAAUACAUAUAAAUAAAAAUAAAUGCUUCCCAGUGCAUAAUGCAUCUUCUCUGUCUGCGUUUUUGGGGUUCAGGUCUUAAAACAGCACGUACUGCUUCAUCAAACACUUGUUUUAGACCACGUUGUUUCCAACAAGUAUCAUUGGGGCAUCUGGGCAGUGAUGUUUUAUCUCUGGAUACCAUUUGCUGGUAACAUUUUCAAAAGAUGAAGGGCUUGUUACUGAGAAACAAAUUAGAAAAACAUCAGUCUGUGGAUAUGAAAGUGGACG